GGGAUAAGGGCGUCAUCAGGUGCCCUCUUUGGGGGAGAAUCGGGAAGCCGGUGCAAGUCCGGCGCGGGCCCGCCGCUGUAUCGGGGAUCGUCAGGCAGAAGCCACUGGGAGGCAAUACCCGGGAAGGCGCCAUGACGAGAGGAUCCGGAGCCAGAAGACCGGCCUGGUGUCAUUGCGCUGC
Molecule: non-coding RNA, 181 nt
Filed under: Rhodobacteraceae bacterium PD-2
Lineage: Bacteria; Pseudomonadati; Pseudomonadota; Alphaproteobacteria; Rhodobacterales; Paracoccaceae
Also listed under: 1 other name
Source: RNAcentral